This 117-nucleotide small nucleolar RNA is filed under the name Oryza sativa (Asian cultivated rice). RNAcentral's name for it is "Z179 small nucleolar RNA". Lineage: Eukaryota; Viridiplantae; Streptophyta; Magnoliopsida; Poales; Poaceae. The record is from RNAcentral.
GCCACCACUGAUGAAGAGGACGCCAACGCGCAGGUGGAUGCUGACGAUCUUUACUACCUGGGGGUCAGUGACGACGAGAAUGAGGAAGUGGGAAGCGACGGCGGGACUGAUGACGAC